GGCAGGCAGGCUGGCUUGUUUGAAUCUCAAGGUUUAGAACGGAGAGAGAGUUUGAGGGGGUUCAGAGCGUUCGUGCGUGUGCCGAGGUGCGAGUCUCCGAGAUUUAACCUCGUUUUCUAUCCAUGCGUUGUUUUUUGCGAGUUGCUAAAUUGUGAGUUUUGAAGGGGGGGAGCUUCCAGGACCCCUUUGCAACGCUGACCUCGUUUGUAGCUCCAGUAGUGCCCACCGACAACUGGGUCUAUCUGUUGUUGUAUUGGCCAGUGGAUCUGCGUGUCGAUGUUGAAUUCUCUCUCUCUCUCUCUCUCUCUCUCUCUCUAUAUAUAUAUAUAUAUAUAUCUGUCUAUCACUCUCUCUCCCUCCCUCUCGUUGCUGGUCCUUUCUUCAGCUGCACAAUCGACUGCCGCACGUCUUUGGGCGUGAUAGCGGGACGGAAACGCUGGAUGAGAUUUUGACAUGCCAAGUCGCACCGAAAAGGAGACAAGGAUCACAGUUUUGUUCAGUUCUUUGCAGAGGUACUUUGCGUCUGGUUGCCUGUGGGAGUGUGGCGUUCAAAUUAGAGCGAGGGACAUACCUUGGGAGAGAGAGAGAGAAGUGCUUUGUUUGCCUGGUGGGGAAUUACAAACCAUCCACACUAUCAAGCUAGGUAGCUUUUCCGUCUACUGUUUCGCUACUCUUGAUAGUGGUCUACUUCAUGCGCAUCAAUUUGUUCUGCUGUAAUCCAAUCUCGGUAUGGUACGGGCACUAAAGAUAGAUCUUAGUCAUGUUAACCCUGUAGGCGAGUCUAGGUCGAAGAUGGAGACCUCGUGAUCAAGAGCGAGCACAACGCACAGGCACAGGAGGAUGGUAGCUACAACACGCACGUUACUCUGCCAGAUAACGCUAAAUAUAAGGUAUUUGUGAAACGCUUUUGUCAACUUCUGAAGCGAUAUACGCGUACUCUGUGAGCAUUUUCAAAAUUUGACCCAUACAGACAUAAAGGUUAAGUUAGAAGAUGAAAAAAAUGUAGUGCACUCAAAUGAACUUCAGCGUAAAUAUUUUCAGCAGCAGUUGACUUGCUUCUUGCAAAUGGUAAGUUUUCUGAAGACUGAUGAAAUACUGGAGAGAAUUGAUACGACCCAGUGAGGUCACGAUAGAGUCUAAGUAAUGCGGAACUCCAACUUUUUUCUCCUACGAAUUGCCGGUAUCGUGACUUCAAACACUUCUGGGGCCAGUAUUAUCCAACUUCUCAGGAUCUAGACAUUUCCAUGUAGCAAUUGACCAAACACCCUGCAAAUCUCCAUUCGGCCUGCACAACUGCCUCGAACCAUAUGGCUGAACUCUGGCAACGGGAUAUUGAAGUAUGUCAACGCUGGCACGGGCUGGGACGUUGCCGGAGCUUCGUUCAUGUCCGACAGUUGCUCCACCCAUUUUCGAAGUUGCGUUCAAUGCAACUUCGACAACUUAACGCGACUCUACACGGGUUUCUCUGAUAAGAUUGAUUCGUUGAAGCAUCUCACCCGAAGAGUUUUGAACACCGCCCUUCUCUCCAUUAAGAUACUGCGUCUCACUUAUCCAACCAUAACCUCUACUUAUCUAGAGCUUAGGUGAAGCAAUCGCCGCAGUCCACGAAGAAUUCAUCACAUUUUUUUGUAUUCUUUUUGGGAACCCACUGCUGCAUGUUACUUGAACGGCGAAGUUUACAAACACCUGGAUCCCAUAACAACUAUCAACGCACGGAUUUUCUGUAGCUGAAAAGUGGUUCAUGCCCUCGAAGUAAGACGUGACCGCCUCUCGAGACCAAUCCCCUUGGUCAUUGUUGCCAAGGACUGUAGCUCUCGAAAUCACAGCCUCCGUCGCCUCGCCAAAUGUCAUGUCCACAGACGCAACUGGGUGCUUACAAUCCUUCUACGUUCUCUCGUACUCACCGAAACCAACACCGAAUUCACAAUCCUCGCUGUUUCCAACCCGAGAUCAUGAGUUGAGAGGGUUUCCCUACUCGCUAGAAUCACCACAACCAAGUUCAGAACCAGGUUCAGUAGCACCGACAAGCUACUUGUAGUUCCCCCAUCUUGGGCUACAAAUCGCAGGCAGGUUGUAACUUUGAUGAAUCAAUCACGAAGACAGUCCGUGUUUCUAAUCGUAGAUUUCAAAGCGGCCGAUCUCUCGAGGACCUAGCGCAGAAUUUGCAUGGAUUUUCUAGUCCAUGCAACUGGUGUGUCGGUGUAGCAGCAGCAGCUUGCGAGUCUUCACGGUGAACGCAAUUAGCAGCAGUUGAGACUUCGGUGAGAGGGAUUAAUGAAGCUUCAACGUGACGAGGAACUUCAACUCUCACUCCGAAGCUUUUCUUACCUCGGCCAACAACUCUCGUUGCUUCGGCCGACAUCGGAUGAUACCAAUGUCAUCGUUUAAUGUACGGUUCGGAAGAAGGUUUUAGUAAAAGUUUGCUAAAGUUAAAGCA
Molecule: long non-coding RNA, 2437 nt
Organism: Physcomitrium patens
Lineage: Eukaryota; Viridiplantae; Streptophyta; Bryopsida; Funariales; Funariaceae
Source: RefSeq, a predicted model, not a curated record